AGAGUUUGAUCCUAGCUCAGGAUGAACGCUGGCGACGUGGAUAAGGCAUGCAAGUCAAACGAUCCGCAAGGACAGUGGCGAACGAGGUAGUAACGCGUAGGAACGUACCCGGAAGUCAGGCAUAGCUCUCCGAAAGGAGAGGUAAUUCCUGAUAGUCCCUGCACCACAAGGUGUUGGGUAAAGUUUUUCGCUUCCGGAGCGGCCUGCGAGCUAUCAGCUAGUUGGUAAGGUAAUGGCUUACCAAGGCUUUGACGGCUAGGGGAGGUGAGAGCCUGACCCCCACCGAUGGAACUGAGACACGGUCCAUACACCUACGGGUGGCAGUAGCCGAGAAUAUUCGACGAUGGGCGAAAGCCUGAUCGAGCGACGCCGCGUGGUGGAUGAAGUCCUUCGGGACGUAAACACCUUUUGCCUGCAAGAAAUUUCGAUGAUCAGCAGGAGAAUAAGGGGUUGCUAACUCUGUGCCAGCAGCAGCGGUAAGACAGAGACCCCAAGCGUUAUCCGGAAUCAUUGGGCGUAAAGGGUGCGUAGGUGGAUUUGUUAGUCGGGCGUUAAAGCUCCGGGCCUAACCCGGAAGAUGCACUCGAAACGGCAAAUCUAGAGUGCGCGAGAGGUACACGGAACUCAUGGUGUAGGGGUGAAAUCCGUUGAUAUCAUGGGGAACACCAAAGGCGAAAGCAGUGUACUGGCGCGCUACUGACACUCAAGCACGAAAGCGUGGGGAGCGAACGGGAUUAGAUACCCCGGUAGUCCACGCCCUAAACGAUCUUCUCUAGCCUUUCGGAGUAUCGACCCUCUGAGAGGCGAAGCUAACGCGUUAAGAGAAGCGCCUGGGGAGUACGGCCGCAAGGCUAAAACUCAAAGGAAUAGACGGGGACUCGCACAAGCAGUGGAUGAUGUGGUUUAAUUCGAUUCUAAACGAAGAACCUCACCAAGGUUAGACAUCCAAACGAAUGGCAGAGGAAACUUUGCCAGUGUCACAAACACGUUUGGACAGGUGUUGCAUGGCUGUCGUCAGUUCGUGGUUUGAAUUGUUCCCUUAAGUGGGGUAACGAACGCAACCCUCGUCGUCUGUUACAAGUGUCAGACGAGACUAUCCCGCUCUGCGGGAGGGAAGCGAGGAUGACGCCAAGUCAGCAUGACCCUCUGAUACCUUGGGCUACACACAUCAUACAAUGGCCGUUACAAACGGACGCAAUAUCGAAAGAUGGAGCAAAUCCGAAAAAAGCGGCCCCAGUUCGGAUAGAGGUCUGCAACUCGACCUCUUGAAGUCGGAAUUGCUAGUAAUCGCAGGUCAGCUAUACUGCGGUGAAUACGUUCUCGAGUCUUGUACUCCCUGCCCGUCACGCCAAGGGAGCCGGGAGUACCCGAAGCGUCUCGCAAGGGGCACUAAGGUAAGCUCGGUGACAGGGGUGAAGUCGUAACAAGGCACGG
RNAcentral lists this ribosomal RNA (1434 nucleotides) under metagenome. Its description in RNAcentral is "bacterial SSU rRNA". It matches the Rfam family "Bacterial small subunit ribosomal RNA". The record is from RNAcentral.